Perca flavescens (yellow perch) is the source of this 479-nucleotide long non-coding RNA. RefSeq lists it as uncharacterized. Lineage: Eukaryota; Metazoa; Chordata; Actinopteri; Perciformes; Percidae. The record is from RefSeq and is a predicted model, not a curated record. The transcript is spliced from 3 exons.
UCAGGGGAGGGCCGUCUCCAGAACGCUAUUGAAAUCGCACAGAAAACAAAAAUGAAAAAAAAAAGACUUUCUACCAAGUCUUUGGAAACGCCCUGGUGUUUCCUUUCAUGCUAAACAAGCAGAAUGACGCUAGCUUGAAGCAUUGCAGAGAUAUUGAACAUAACGUAGCAGGAUUUAUGGAUUUAAUCAUACAAAGACGCUAUAGUUCCAGGCUGGAUUGCAAAGCCUUUUUGAAGGUAAAAAAAGAAACUCAGACACAGUUUUAUGUAUCAUGGAACAGAACGCAGCCCGAGAUCCUCAGAAAGGAAAAUCUUGGCCGCUCUGCAGUUUCUACUCAAGUCCUGUGGAGAUCUGGGACAUGGUGCCUGGACAUGGAGCGGGGAAGACUUCUCUCUUUGUGGCACUAUUUCGGGGGGAAAAUAGUCUGGAUCAACGAGCUACCAGAAGACUUCACACUUUCAGACACGUUGAUCACGUCA